Podarcis lilfordi (Lilford's wall lizard) is the source of this 73-nucleotide non-coding RNA. NCBI's taxonomy places the organism in Eukaryota, Metazoa, Chordata, Lepidosauria, Squamata, Lacertidae. The record is from the annotation of a GenBank genome assembly.
UGUCUGACAGCUCAGUCAGUAGUGCAUGAGACUCUUAAUCUCAAGGUCAUGGUUCAAGUCCCACGUUGGGCAA